Molecule: long non-coding RNA, 583 nt
Organism: Cucurbita moschata (crookneck pumpkin)
Lineage: Eukaryota; Viridiplantae; Streptophyta; Magnoliopsida; Cucurbitales; Cucurbitaceae
Exons: 2
Source: RefSeq, a predicted model, not a curated record
GCUCCGCCCACAACGACAUCCUAUAUCCAUAGAUCUGCAGGGCAAGACAUCCAAAUCCCACAAACGAUUCAGGAAUGCAGUUCUAUGUAUUUGGCAGGGCUUAACAUAAAACCCAAAUCAAAGUAAGAGAAUACAUAUAACGACUGAAAUCAACAACUGACUAAGGAUAUAAGUUACCUGUGGAGAGUUUUCUGCACUAGGGCUUCCAGAAGAUAAAGGAUCAUUUCCAUCCACAUCCUCACGAUUUCCCAGGCAGAAGAAGUUCAAAUAGUCUUGAGGAGAGAAUGCCUCCUCAAGACCAACCUCCAUCAAGGCCUUGUAAAUGACCUCAUACAUCAUUUGCAUGGUUUUUUGCUGAGCAGUGCGAGAAAAGUUCAGUUAAAUCAGAAGUAUACUUGUCAUAGAUCAGAAUGUGUGUUGGUGUUUCAAUGUUCAUCUUAUCAUGUUCCCUCAUGAUCUCACUUUAUUUUAUCAUUUAACCCAAUAAUAUCUCCAAUUCCCACCAAAGAAGAAUUUAAGAACUGCAAAGUUCUAAAUAUUUAGGACUGUUCUGAUAUUUUAAUUGCCAUGAAUUACUACUGGG